CAGUCUUACCUGCGGACAAUCAGCUUUUUGAGUGUGAUUAUGUGGAUUGUGAGGAGUUUAAUCACCCUCAUUGUUUUGCAUAUUCGUGCUCUUGGGUGUACUUGCUCGUGUGGUUGGUUAACAUCAAUUUCGGAUGCCAAUAAAAUGACUGGAGGAAUGUAGCUUCGAUCUCGUAUUGAAGUGUUAUA
RNAcentral lists this ribosomal RNA (188 nucleotides) under Glomus sp. (unid). The record is from RNAcentral. Lineage: Eukaryota; Fungi; Glomeromycota; Glomeromycetes; Glomerales; Glomeraceae.